This 946-nucleotide ribosomal RNA is filed under the name bacterium enrichment culture clone bHCH1_B7. RNAcentral's name for it is "bacterial SSU rRNA". It matches the Rfam family "Bacterial small subunit ribosomal RNA", at positions 42 to 1003 of the family's 1533-position model. The record is from RNAcentral.
GGGUGCCUUAACACAUGCCAAGUCGACGAAGUAUGUUUUUCGGAAUAUACUUAGUGGCGGACGGGUGAGUAACGCGUGAACAAUCUGCCCUAUACAAAGGAAUAGCCUCGGGAAACUGGGAUUAAAACCGUAUAAAGCUUUCAUACCGCAUGAUAAGAAAGCCAAAUUGAAUAAGAGGUAUAGGAUGAGUUCGCGUCUGAUUAGCUAGUUGGUAAGGUAAUGGCUUACCAAGGCGACGAUCAGUAGCCGGCCUGAGAGGGUGAACGGCCACACUGGAACUGAGACACGGUCCAGACUCCUACGGGAGGCAGCAGUGGGGAAUAUUGCACAAUGGGCGAAAGCCUGACGCAGCGACGCCGCGUGAGUGAAGAAGGUCUUCGGAUCGUAAAACUCUGUCCUUGGUGACGAAAAAAAUGACGGUAGCCAAGGAGGAAGCCCCGGCUAACUACGUGCCAGCAGCCGCGGUAAUACGUAGGGGGCGAGCGUUGUCCGGAUUUACUGGGCGUAAAGGGUGAGUAGGCGGUUGUAUAAGUCAGAUGUAAAAGGCACAGGCUUAACUUGUGUAAGCAUUUGAAACUGUACAACUUGAGUGCAGGAGAGGUAAGUGGAAUUCCUAGUGUAGCGGUGAAAUGCGUAGAUAUUAGGAGGAACACCAGUGGCGAAGGCGACUUACUGGACUGUAACUGACGCUGAGUCACGAAAGCGUGGGUAGCAAACAGGAUUAGAUACCCUGGUAGUCCACGCUGUAAACGAUGAGUGCUAGGUGUUGGCCAGCGAUGGUCAGUGCCGAAGUUAACACAAUAAGCACUCCGCCUGGGGAGUACGGUCGCAAGACUGAAACUCAAAGGAAUUGACGGGGACCCGCACAAGCAGCGGAGCAUGUGGUUUAAUUCGAAGCAACGGCGAAGAACCUUACCAAGGUUUGACAUCCCCUUGACAGAUGCAG